GACGAACGCUGGCGGCGUGCUUAACACAUGCAAGUCGAACGAUGAAGCUGGAGCUUGCUCCGGUGGAUUAGUGGCGAACGGGUGAGUAACACGUGAGCAAUCUGCCCUUGACUCUGGGAUAACUGCGGGAAACUGUAGCUAAUACCGGAUACUUUCACUGGCAGGCAUCUUCUGGCGAAGAAAGAAUUUCGGUCAAGGAUGAGCUCGCGGCCUAUCAGCUUGUUGGUGAGGUAACGGCUCACCAAGGCGACGACGGGUAGCCGGCCUGAGAGGGUGACCGGCCACACUGGGACUGAGACACGGCCCAGACUCCUACGGGAGGCAGCAGUGGGGAAUAUUGCACAAUGGGCGCAAGCCUGAUGCAGCAACGCCACGUGAGGGAUGAAGGCCUUCGGGUUGUAAACCUCUUUUAGCAGGGAAGAGGCGAAAGUGACGGUACCUGCAGAAAAAGCACCGGCUAACUACGUGCCAGCCGCCGCCGUAA
Molecule: ribosomal RNA, 484 nt
Filed under: uncultured bacterium
Lineage: Bacteria
Description: partial 16S ribosomal RNA
Rfam family: Bacterial small subunit ribosomal RNA
Source: RNAcentral